RNAcentral lists this ribosomal RNA (465 nucleotides) under uncultured soil bacterium. Its description in RNAcentral is "bacterial SSU rRNA". It matches the Rfam family "Bacterial small subunit ribosomal RNA", at positions 26 to 518 of the family's 1533-position model. The record is from RNAcentral.
AGGAUCAACGCUGGCGGCGUGCCUAAUGCAUGCAAGUCGUACGGGGGCGUUCGCGCUCCCCGUGGCGAACGGCUGAGGAACACGUGCGUACCUGCCCCAUCGUGGGGAAUACCGGCUGGAAACAGCCGACAAUACCGCGUACGCUUGCUCGGGGACACCCGGCCAAGGAAAGCCUUACGGCGCGGUGGGAGGGGCGCGCGGCCCAUCAGGUUGAUGGCGGGGUAACGGCCCACCAUGCCGCUGACGGGUCGCUGGUCUGAGAGGACGGCCAGCCAGACUGGGACUGCGACACGGCCCAGACACCUACGGGUGGCAGCAGCAAGGAAUCUUCCCCAAUGGGCGAGAGCCUGAGGGAGCAACGCCGCGUGGAGGAUGACGGCUUUCGGUUGUAAACUCCUUUUCGGGGGGAUGAAACGGACAGUACCCCCCGGAAUAAGCCCCGGCUAACUCUGUGCCAGCAGCCGC